RNAcentral lists this ribosomal RNA (369 nucleotides) under uncultured eukaryote. RNAcentral describes it as "partial 18S ribosomal RNA". It matches the Rfam family "Eukaryotic small subunit ribosomal RNA", at positions 592 to 976 of the family's 1831-position model. The record is from RNAcentral.
CAAUAGCGUAUAUUAAAGUUGUUGCAGUUAAAAAGCUCGUAGUUGGACCUUGGACCUGGACAGGCGGUCCGCCUCACGGCGAGUACUGUCUUGCUGGGUCUUUCCUCUUGGUGAUCUGUUGUUUCGGCAGCAGGGAACCAGGACCUUUACUUUGAAAAAUUAGAGUGUUCAAAGCAGGCUCGACGCCGGAAUAUAUUAGCAUGGAAUAAUAAGAUAGGACGUGCGGUUCUAUUUUGUUGGUUUUUGGAAUCGCCGUAAUGAUUAAUAGGGACAGUCGGGGGCAUUAGUACUCACAUGCUAGAGGUGAAAUUCUUGGAUUUUGUGAAGACUAACUUCUGCGAAAGCAUUUGCCAAGGAUGUUUUCAUUAA